This 154-nucleotide ribosomal RNA is filed under the name Colletotrichum agaves. Its description in RNAcentral is "5.8S ribosomal RNA". The stretch from base 1 to 108 matches the Rfam family "5.8S ribosomal RNA", at positions 47 to 154 of the family's 154-position model. From Rfam's summary of the family: 5.8S ribosomal RNA (5.8S rRNA) is a component of the large subunit of the eukaryotic ribosome. It is transcribed by RNA polymerase I as part of the 45S precursor that also contains 18S and 28S rRNA. Functionally, it is thought that 5.8S rRNA may be involved in ribosome translocation. The record is from RNAcentral. Lineage: Eukaryota; Fungi; Ascomycota; Sordariomycetes; Glomerellales; Glomerellaceae.
AGCGAAAUGCGAUAAGUAAUGUGAAUUGCAGAAUUCAGUGAAUCAUCGAAUCUUUGAACGCACAUUGCGCCCGCCAGCAUUCUGGCGGGCAUGCCUGUCCGAGCGUCAUUUCAACCCUCAAGCACCGCUUGGCGUUGGGGCCCUACGGUUCACG